This is a long non-coding RNA of Armigeres subalbatus, 815 nucleotides long. RefSeq lists it as uncharacterized. The transcript has 2 exons. NCBI's taxonomy places the organism in Eukaryota, Metazoa, Arthropoda, Insecta, Diptera, Culicidae. The record is from RefSeq and is a predicted model, not a curated record.
CACUCCAGUGGCUCUAUUACAGUGCGAACAAGCUCGUGUAAUUCGAGCAAUAGUCGUAAUGAAUGAAACACAUUUAGUUUCACUUUCAUUAUCUUGUUUAAAAUUUAUAAGCAUCAUACUGCCACUAAAAGCAUAACUGACCCAUGCAGGUAAGAUUCAAGUCAAUGUGAACAAUUUAUGCGUGUAGAGACACUAGCCAAGAACCAGCCGACGACAAAAAAACAUUCCCCUACACAUUAAUCCGAAUGCAGUCAGUUAGUGUAGCCAUCACACAGCCAAUUACCUUCUAUCAAACUAAAUCUCGAGCCCCGACCCUAAGCUACUAUCACCAGCUGUCUAGUGGCGAUUCAGUUCUCAAACGCAGCACCACACCACCGACAGCUGGCCGACAAUGGUGACGAUAUCGAAGACAUCAGUCGCUCUGCCGAAAAAGUCAGGAAGCCCGAACAGCAAUAAUGUGCCAACGGCUGCGGCGAUGACGUCAUCGGUGGCUGUGAAACGCGUCAGCUGCGGAAUUUGGCAAGCUUUGCGGGCAAACUUCGAGCGAUACCAGACAUUUACCAGUUCAGCUUGGCCGUACAGAUAGAUAAGGAUUGGGUGGGCGGCUUGCAGCCAGGCUUGAUUUGUUUUAUUUAAUCAGUCGAGCCGUGAGGAAACAAUGAGAGAGAGCAAUAAAUUUCGAUUUCGAUAAAGCAAACGUUUUGGUUUCACCUUGGUGUACAUGAAUAGAUGAAACGGGUGUCCUGUGGAUUUCAGUCGUGUGGCAUUGUGCAGUUAACGAGUCUGUCGGGAGAUAAUGAAAUAUACAUAUGGCA